RNAcentral lists this ribosomal RNA (491 nucleotides) under uncultured bacterium. RNAcentral describes it as "partial 16S ribosomal RNA". It matches the Rfam family "Bacterial small subunit ribosomal RNA", at positions 28 to 507 of the family's 1533-position model. The record is from RNAcentral.
GAUGAACGCUGGCUACAGGCUUAACACAUGCAAGUCGAGGGGAAACGCCGGGGAAGCUUGCUUCCCCGGGCGUCGACCGGCGCACGGGUGAGUAACGCGUAUCCAACCUGCCUCUGACUGAGGGAUAACCCGUCGAAAGUCGGCCUAAUACCUCAUGGCAUCGUCUGCGGGCAUCCAACGACGAUUAAAGAUUUCAUCGGUCAGGGACGGGGAUGCGUCUGAUUAGCUUGUUGGCGGGGUACCGGCCCACCAAGGCUACGAUCAGGAGGGGUUCUGAGAGGAAGGUACCCCACAGUGGAACUGGGGCACGGUCCAAACUGGUACGGGAGGCAGCAGUGAGGAAUAUUGGUGAAGGGGCGGGAGCCUGAACCAGCCGAGUAGCGUGCAGGAGGACGGCGCUAUGGGUGGUAAACUGCUUUUAGGCGGGGAUAAAGUGAGGGACGUGUGCUUCAUUGCAGGUACCGAAUGAAUAAGAACCGGCUAAUUCCGUG